This is a long non-coding RNA of Halichondria panicea, 2897 nucleotides long. RefSeq lists it as uncharacterized. NCBI's taxonomy places the organism in Eukaryota, Metazoa, Porifera, Demospongiae, Suberitida, Halichondriidae. The transcript is spliced from 3 exons. The record is from RefSeq and is a predicted model, not a curated record.
UAAAUCACUUUAGUAUAAUGUCUAAGCCAGCUGAGUACAAAGCUUUCAUGGAUUGUUACGAUGAUUUUAUACAGCUUGUAGAGCAGGCACCAAACGACGUCUGUAAUCAAUUGAUUCCUCUUGAAUUACUACCACCAGCAGUGAUAAAAUACGUUAGUAAUAACGUUCAUGAUGAUGAUGAAAAGGCGUCUCGAAUAUGUAACACUCUGUCGAGCCAAAUCCAAAUCAAUUCAGAGGCUGUUCAUUUAUUUAUUAAUUCUCUAGAAAAAGCUGGUAGGUGGACACGUUAUGCAGUCGAAAAUUUCCAAAAAGCACUGGAGAACCGCAAACAAGAAGAGUGCAUUGAGUCCAAACAGAAAAUUACCAAGCCACAGCACAUACAAGAAAACUGUCGACCAGUUGUGAUUGUCCUAGCUGUUUUGCUAGGUGUUGCAGCAGCUUUCAGUGGAGGAGCUUGUGUGUACAUGUAUUCUGGAGAGGAUAUCGCCACUGCUGUUAGCGUACCAAAAAAUCAAGAACGAAAUGAGAGUAAAAUAGAGUUCUACGAAGUUUUUCCUCAGCAAAAUGUACCUACUAUUAAUAGCCCCUUUUUUGGUCGAGCCAAAGAACUAAAAGAAGUAAAAGAACUUAUUAUCUCAAACGCGGUCCGUAUUAUUAAUAUCAAUGGUCCACCUGCUUUUGAAAAAUCCAGACUAGCAAAUCAGUUGGGUCAUGAAUUACUGCAUUAUUCUGGUGUCAUUCCAAACAUUCGAUAUAUAGAUACAGUGACUUCUAGAAAGUCGUGGUAUCUCUGUUCAACCAGCACUUCACAAAAACAAGAACGUAAUAGAUAUUCUGGCACACAUGAUAUAUCUGACACUGAGUCUCCAGAAAGUAGUGGUCAAAGUGUAUAUGACGACAAUUUAUGUACGUUGAUUACAUGGCAGAAAAAAAGAACUGUAUUGAUAUUUGAUAACUGUGACCCAAUCCUGCACAGUAAUGAUCGAAAGCUGUUUGUAGAUAUGCUUCAAACAUUUCUAUCAAUGAAUGUCCAGAUAUUUAAUGUGGUAGUUGUAUCUCAAGAACAGUUGUUUUUCUUAGAUGAUGGUUUUUACUCAAUUCAUCUAGAAGCACUUUCACCAAUGGAUUCUCAGGCUAUGCUAAUGCAUUACAUACAAAACCUGACUACUGCACAAGCUAAUGACCUUUACGCUGUUGUUGGCGGUUGCCCUCUGGCACUAAAAGUUGUUGCAAAGCUUCUUUGUGAAAGAAAUAGUCUGAAGUCGUUGUUAGCAAAGCUGAAGCAAAACGUAACAUUUACAUUAUCUAAAAAGUCUACAAGAGAAGAGGAUCAGUUGCACAAAGUAAUAGACAUUGCUUACAAAAAGUACAUGGACCCUCUGAGUAGAAAAUGUGCUCGUGUUCUGAGUCUCUUUCCAGGGUCUGUGAGUGAAGAGAUGACCAACAGUGUCUUAUCUGAAAUUGUAGACCCGUCGUGUAUUGAAGAUGUCAUACGUUUGUCGUUUUUGGAAGAGUUUUCAAUCGAAGAAUUACGAAGAUUUUCUAUCCACACUGUUAUUCAAGGUUACCUGAAAUCUGUGCAUCUUAUCCAGUCUGAUAUAAAAGCUUUCAAUUCAUCUUUUCUCAGUUUCUAUUCUGAUUAUUUAACAAAUGCCAUGAAGCAGAGUUACAUGUAUGUUCAUCGAAACAUAAGCAAUGAAGACAGUUACUUAUUAAAUGAUUUGGAAUCUCACAAUAUGAAUGAAUUUGUACCAAUGCUCCUAUCAACAGACAUUGAUGAAGAGCUUACAUUGUAUUCUGCAAUAGCGCUAGGCUUUCUAAUCUAUGAGAAAAGGAUUCCUGAGGCCUAUACUCAUGACGUCUUCCUAAAAGCACAUAACUUACACAGCAGCUCUUCAAUAUUUGACAGUCUUUGUGCUCUCUCCUCCAAAGACGUAUGCACGAGCAUCCUAUGGAAAUCAUUUUCGCUUCUUGUAAUACAGAAUGAAUGUAAUAGCUAUUUUUCCUUCAUUUCAAAUCUAUUCUUUGCUCACCCGAUAUGUUCUCAACUCUAUAAUUGCUCCAAACUAAAUCCCUUCGAUUAUCAAUACACUGUGUUACAAGAAAUUGUGAACCAAACAGAAAAGUCCCUAUGAGGGGUGUGAUACUUUCAAACACUUAUUGUAAGAUGUCAACUACAUGCAUACAAGUGGAUUAUGGAGUUUUUGUCUAAAUGGACUCUCGUGAUUAAUGUUUUUGCUAUAUUACUUGUAGUGGCACUAGUGUAUAUGGAAUAUCUAUGAUAUUGCGGGAUUUUUUUACAGUUUUGCUGAUUGCAGAAACAUGUAUAUUUUUUUGCGUUGCAUUAAAUAUACUGUUGUACUUUCCAGACCGUACAGAUUCGUACUAUCAAUUGUAUGCUGAGUUUUGGUAUGACAUCUGCAUCAGUAUUUCAGAUUAUGUCGAGGAAUGGCAAUGUACUCAUCUACCUACUUCCUUCAUCAACAACACAAUGUCAGACAUGUGCAACAACACAACUGCAAUUGUCGAGGAACAUGAACCGGACCGAACGAAUAUCCCUGGGAUUGUGUAUGAAACCCGUAUUCGUGAGCUCACUCUUUGCAGCACUUUGUUAUGUUAUGAUGUAUUACUGUGCACAAUUUAUUAAUUACUCUAGUAAUGGUGGUCUUGUCCAUUCUUUAUAAACACAAUCAUAAUUGCACAUGCAUUAAUUAUCACUCUUAUAAUACUGAGUGACUGUAGAUUUACUUACAGACUCGUAUAUACGCCUGCUUUAAAUCUUCAUGUGUAUAUAAUAAUUAUACACCAUGUGUGUAAUGUCACUAAGUAUAAACUUUUUGUAAAAUGUAGCUACAUGUAGCAGCUAUGAUUUUGUUAUAAUUUUUAUACAAAUUUGU